CAAUAGCGUAUAUUAAAAUUGUUGCAGUUAAAACGCUCGUAGUUGAAUAUCUGGCAUGUGAGGCCGGUCCGCUUCGGUGUGCACCGCGCCUUCCCACGUCAUCCGCUUGCUUGCUUCGGCUUGCAAGCCUUUCACUUUGAGGAAAUUAGAGUGUUCAAAGCAGGCUUACGCCUUGAAUACUUCAGCAUGGAAUGAUUGUUAGGACAUUCGUCCUUUCAGUUGGUUCUAGGGACGAAUGUAAUGGUUAAUAGGGUCGGUCGGGGGCAUUUGUAUUGAACAGCUAGAGGUGAAAUUCUUAGACUUGUUCAAGACAAACAACUGCGAAAGCAUUUGCCAAGGACGUACCCAUUAG
Molecule: ribosomal RNA, 352 nt
Filed under: uncultured eukaryote
Lineage: Eukaryota
Description: partial 18S ribosomal RNA
Rfam family: Eukaryotic small subunit ribosomal RNA
Source: RNAcentral